AUCCUCAGGAUUUGGCUCAUGGCCCACACUCUUGGAGCGAUACACUUCAAUUUUCUUGGAUGUGGGAGUGAUUUUUUGUCCUUCUGAGCUUACCUCAUAUGUAGAUAAAGAGAGGGUUUUUCCUGUGGGAGCUUGGAGAGACACAGUUCCUUGAAAUGCACACAGAGGAAUAGCUAAGGCACCGCCUGAACGCUGAAAUGAGAAAAAUGGUUAUUAUUUAGUGUUGCUGCCACAAGCAAAAAACAGUUGUCAACAAUCCAGUUACAUCUCAUUAUUUUCACUGCUGUGUGUUGAGAAUACCUUUUAAAGGCCUUUGAUGUCAUUGAUGGUAUAAAAAUAUACGCUUCUUUAUUCACAGUUCUUAUUCUGAAUGUAUUGACUCCUUCUGUUUCCUACACAAUUGCACAAAACUCACUAUUCUUUUUACUUUUUAACCAUUUUUGUCCUUGCAGGUAUUAGCACCUGUCCAAUAUUUUCUAAGUUUGGAAGCUAAGCAGAAUUAGCCCUGGUUAAUACUUGAAGAGAAGAUCUCCAGAGAAUAUCAGAGCUAUAUGUUGGUAUCUUGAAAACAAUGUGAAGUUACCAGAGAUUCAUAAUUGAAUAAUUAUCUUCCUGGACAAAGAACUUCUACCCAUUAAUCUCGUUUGCUCAUUUGGGAUGUAUCAAAUAAUAAUUAUUAAUCAGUUGUUGAAAGUGCAGAAAGUUUUAUUAUUUCUAAAAAUAGGAAGAGAGAGAAUCAACUUUAAGAGAUCAAGGCGACAAUCUGAUACACACUUUUCUGGAAAGAGAAACUCCUCAAUCUACUCCUGAAUACACACAAGCUUAGCUUAUAGAAGAUAUGAAUAUCAAGAAAAAAAUAGCCAGAUUUCCAUGCUACAGCUCAUAGAGGGAUUAAAUAUAGGAAGACGUAGGCUGGGGUGAGUGAGCCUUUCCCAACUCUUCUCUGGCAGAAAUGUUGACCAGUCCAACAGAUGUAUUUUAAUGCUUUAAAAAAAAGCAGCAGGAAGUAAUUAUCUCCCAGACAGUGUGGCAACUGGGCAACCAUCCAAAAAAGCUGUCCUUCAUUUGAUCAUGUGCGGUGGAUGCACAGAGGGAAAUCAGUCAUUCAGUCAUUAAGGGAACUCAGUAAGUUUUAUUCCAGUGAGUGUGUUUAAAAUUGUACGAAAUGUAAUAAAAUUUGCACAUUAUUGUGUAGAUUUAUUUAUGACUUAAAGAGAGGCACAUCAUAACAUUUGGAAUGUGAAAUAAAAAUUUCUUAGAACAAGAGCACAGUUAUUUCCCAGCUAUUAGAAAACAGUUUUUUAUGUUGGUUCUAUUAGGAAAUGUACACUCUUUGAAAGACUGUUAAAUUUACACUGGAAGUAAAUUAAAUGACCUUAUUGUAACAGAAAUAAUAUAAAAAUAAAUGCUAAUUUGACUUGGAGC
Pantherophis guttatus is the source of this 1425-nucleotide long non-coding RNA. RefSeq lists it as uncharacterized. NCBI's taxonomy places the organism in Eukaryota, Metazoa, Chordata, Lepidosauria, Squamata, Colubridae. The record is from RefSeq and is a predicted model, not a curated record.